RNAcentral lists this ribosomal RNA (467 nucleotides) under uncultured bacterium. RNAcentral's name for it is "partial 16S ribosomal RNA". It matches the Rfam family "Bacterial small subunit ribosomal RNA", at positions 28 to 506 of the family's 1533-position model. The record is from RNAcentral.
GACGAACGCUGGCGGCGUGCUUAACACAUGCAAGUCGAACGGAAAGGCCCUGCUUUUGUGGGGUGCUCGAGUUGCGAACUGGUGAGUAACACGUGAGUAACCUGCCCUUGACCUUGGGAUAACUUCAGGAAACUGGGGCUAAUACCGGAUAGGAGCUCCUGCUGCAUGGUGGGGGUUGGAAAGUUUCGGCGGUUGGGUAUGUACUCGCGGCUUAUCAGCUUGUUGGUGGGGUAGUGGCUUACCAAGGCUUUGACGGGUAGCCGGCCGGAGAGGGUGACCGGCCACAUAGGGACUGAGAGACGGCCCAGACACCUUCGGGAGGCAGGAGUGGGGAAUAUUGCACAAUGGGCGGAAGCCUGAUGCAGCAACGCCGCGUGCGGGAUGACGGCCUUCGGGUUGUAAACCGCUUUCGCCUGUGACGAAGCGUGAGGGACGGUAAUGGGUAAAGAGGCACCGGCUAACUACGU